UUUGCAUUUUGCAUGAACAUUGAAAAUGUAAUCAAUAUAUUCUUUGGAAGGUAUGUUUUGUAGUAUAAGAUUUAAAGCAUUUAUAUGGAGAAAUCAAAGGAAUAUUUUAAAUAUUUUUCGUAAUAGUUCAAAGCUGUUUAGCUGUGCAGUGUUUUGCAGAGCAUCAAGUAUGGAAAAAGAGAAAGUUUUGGAAGCAAUAAAGCAAGCUAUUCCACCAUUGGUCGAGUCAAAGUACAAAGGACAGGCAGGGCGUAUAGGAGUUGUUGGAGGGUCAAAAGAGUAAGCUAU
Non-coding RNA from Paramuricea clavata, 288 nucleotides. The record is from the annotation of a GenBank genome assembly. Lineage: Eukaryota; Metazoa; Cnidaria; Anthozoa; Malacalcyonacea; Plexauridae.